RNAcentral lists this ribosomal RNA (448 nucleotides) under uncultured bacterium. Its description in RNAcentral is "bacterial SSU rRNA". It matches the Rfam family "Bacterial small subunit ribosomal RNA", at positions 355 to 796 of the family's 1533-position model. The record is from RNAcentral.
UCGAGAAUUUUUCUCAAUGGGCGCAAGCCUGAAGGAGCGACGCCGCGUGGGGGAUGAAGGGUUUCGAUCCGUAAACCCCUGUCAUUUGCGAACAAACCCUGAGGUUUAAGAGAUAUCAGGCUGAUUGUAGCGAAAGAGGAAGGGACGGCUAACUCUGUGCCAGCAGCCGCGGUAAUACAGAGGUCCCAAGCGUUGUUCGGAUUCACUGGGCGUAAAGGGUGCGUAGGUGGCUUGGUAAGUUUGAUGUGAAAUCUCCGGGCUUAACCCGGAAAUGGCAUUGAAUACUAUUGAGCUGGAGGUUUGGAGGGGGGACUGGAAUUCUCGGUGUAGCAGUGAAAUGCGUAGAUAUCGAGAGGAACACCAGUGGCGAAGGCGAGUCCCUGGACAACACCUGACACUGAGGCACGAAAGCUAGGGGAGCAAACAGGAUUAGAUACCCCGGUAGUCC